CGCUAACACUCCACCCAGAAAAUGUACACUUUUCCCCGUGCUGAAACGGGAGCAAGCCGUAACACACUUCCUAAAUUCUUUCUCGCUCAUUACUUACCCCUCUUUUCCUCUAAAGAAGGAUAGAAAAGUUAAGAGAUUUUGAGAAAAUACCGAGUAGAAAUGAAGCGUUUUUGUCACACAAACAACAGACAUGCAGUCUCGCUGAAGAUAAUAAGGCUGUCGGUGUGGUUCACAGGAGCUAUAUAUAUCCUGCGACGCGCUUAAUUGCAACGUCACCUGAUCAUGUCAGGCCUAUAAGUAGAGGCAUGAUUUUACACAAGCUUCAGAUACCGGUCACGCGCGCAAGGCGUUCCCAUAAUGUUAUGCUAAAUGCAACGUUGAAGUUUCCUUUGAAAGGGAAGCCAUGUUUGUGCUGUAGUUUUGUGGAGAGGUUUCUCUGCCUGAUUCACAUAGAGAAAGCUCAUCACGUUAUAGAAUAAAGUUAAUAAGUGGAACCUGAACAUCAAUAGUAACUUUCACCGUUUGAGCAUGGUCUGGACUUUAAGUUCACUUGGAAAUCCUCUAUAAGUCAUUGGUCACGGUGGGAAAUAAGAUUAACCCAUCAGGAUCACGUUAGGAUCUAUAAUUACAUCAUCAUUUACACUCCGACUCCGUGUUGUUCAUGAUCAGGUGAUUUGUAGGAUUUAGAAAUCCGUCUCCAGAUUUUGAGUGAGUUUUAUGAACACGGUUACGUCCCUACACGCACCUCAGACAAGAUUUUUCACUUUAUUCGGUUUAUUCUAAUUCUGUAACCUUGACAACACUGUGACGUCAUGGCUCAGCCAGCAAUAAAACAUUCCACUCAGCUGGUCUUUGGUUUCUACAGACAGAUCCCUGAGAGACUUGUUUCUGCACGACAGAACGAUUUUCAAAGAUGAGGAGGAAUCACAAAAAGACACCUCAGCAUCAAGCUAUGCUGGGAUUAAGGAGUAGUAAAAUGGACAUAGUGUCCAGAACAAGAGAAGAAGCAGCGAUGACGAUCCCUCCAGAAUCGAGUAACAGGCCUACAAACCAAGAUUUCUUGCAGCAAACUGCACGACCUGAGGAAGUUCUGCAUAGAACGCCCAGAAUGGAUCCGAUUGGUCUUCCCCCAUUCAGAGCACCGGUGUGUGGGGAAAAGUUAAGCAAAACAACCAGCAAUCCUCAGGAACUUACAGGUACUACAGAGGUAAAGAGUAACUCUCUUGAGGCUACAAUUGAGGUAGAACCUCAAUUAAGAACCAACAUUACUGAUGCUGUCCUGGAUUGUAUAACCUCUACGUCGUUCAAGAAUCAGCUCGCUCUGCGCAUUGUGGGUGAGAUUGAUGAUAUACUAGCAAAAGCAGUGUCCCAGGUUCACGAGAAACAGCAUGCUGUGAGUUUCGAUACAGCAGAAGAUAAGACGAACAUCUCCCAGGAACAACAAUCGAGCAACAAUGAUUUCAUGCCUGGCUUCAGUGAUGGUGUGGCAUCUGUGCUUGGUUAUGCACUGAUAGAAGUUAGAGAACAUGUGAAAAAAACUUUUAGAAGCCAGUCACACAAAUUUCAGACAGUCUCACCCACGGCAUGCAAUUCUGUAACAGAAAUAGUGGACAGUGUCUUUGAAGGCAUGCUUGAUUCCUUGACUGCUCAACUGAAACCAGAUGUUUGCACUGAAAGGGAUCCUAGCAUGAUUGAUUCUCUUUAUAGUCAUGAGUUUGAUACAGUGUUUGAUAGUAUGCUUCCCAGCACUGACUCAGAUUUCAACCAGAGUCCAGUCCAUGAGCCAAGAGGAAGUGAUGAUGAGUCUAGCGUCACAACUCAGGAAAGUGAGACAUUAGACAUUGUGAAAGAGAGAGCUGACUCCCCAAGAAGAUCUACCAAAGUCCCGUUCUCCACAGUAUUUGACCAGUCUUUUGGACCUGAAGUUAAGGCCAAAGAUGAGGUUGAGGGCAUCUUGGCUGAUUCUGGAAGCAUGAGCCACCUUGAUGACCCUCUGACUUCAAGAAUCAAAUCUGACUCUGAUUCGGAUACAAGCGUUCUUGAGCUCACUGCUACUUCUGCAACAGAAAAUGUUGACCACAUGUCAAGAUCUGAUGAAGUAGCAGAAGAAGGACUUGUGGCUAAAUCAGAUGUUGAGCUUGAGCAAAUCAUGGCUGCUCCUUCUGAGGAAAACACUCCUUCUGACAUAACUUCCCAAAGCCUUGAGCUGAUUGGACACCAGGAAUGUGCUAGCCCUGUCCCUUCACCUUCUAGUGAUCAGCCAGAGGAUCUGCCAGCUCUUUGCCAAACAGAUUCUCUGAUGAAGAAGAUGGCAUCUUUGACCAGUCUCACCAAAAGCUAGAGAGUGAUGGCAAGCGUAGACUUUCUCUGACUGGCAUGGAAAUGGGUUCUUCUGGAAGCAGAAGUCGCCUUGAUGAGCCUCAGUUCAUCUGAAACUUACAACGCUGAAGAAGCUGCAGCAAUAUCAGCUGGAUACAAAGCACCUCCCCAAGAGGACUGUCGUGGGAAAUAAUCUUUCCAGCCUAACAAAAAGCUUCAGAGAUAGAGGGUUUGUAGAUGUCAAAAGUAAUUAAACUUUAUUGAAACAAUAAAGUGAGACAGUCUGCAGAAAGUCUAAAUUAUGCAACCACACACAGCCCUUUUUAUACCUUUCUCCACAGCAAACUCAUCUUAGGUGGGGUUUUACCUUUUCUCAUUAAAAAAAGACCAGUCUUCUUUGGCCACAAUUAAUUAUUCAAAUCUAUAUGUUAUCUUAAAUUUGUGGAGCAUGCGCAGUUAGUUGUUUUACUGGAAAAGGUUUUAUGAGGACAAGGUUUCUUUUUUUAAAAAAGAGUCUUUGUUUUUUGUUUCUCUCUGACCAACACUCCCUUCUUAUGUCUCAAUGAGCUUCUGUCUGUUUCUAUCUGCCAUCCUAGCUGAUAUCCACCUCCCUUCCUGAGCCCUUUCAUAUAAAAUGCAAUUAUUUCAAUACAAUAACAUGGAUAAUUACAAUGAAUGUAAUCUGCUGAACAGAAAUUAUAUGCUUUAAUAAAAAAUAAAAAAAAAACAGUUGU
Ictalurus furcatus (blue catfish) is the source of this 3053-nucleotide RNA transcript. RefSeq lists it as uncharacterized. The transcript has 8 exons. The record is from RefSeq and is a predicted model, not a curated record. Lineage: Eukaryota; Metazoa; Chordata; Actinopteri; Siluriformes; Ictaluridae.